Molecule: ribosomal RNA, 204 nt
Filed under: uncultured bacterium
Lineage: Bacteria
Description: partial 16S ribosomal RNA
Rfam family: Bacterial small subunit ribosomal RNA
Source: RNAcentral
CACGUAGGUGGAUAUUUAAGUCGGAUGUGAAAGCCCUGGGCUUAACCUGGGAAUUGCCUCCGAUACUGGAUGUCUAGAGUAUGGUAGAGGGUAGUGGAAUUUCCGGUGUAGCGGUGAAAUGCGUAGAUAUCGGAAGGAACACCAGUGGCGAAAGCGGCUACCUGGACCAAUACUGACACUUAGGUGCGAAAGCGUGGGGAGAAC